AUGUUACUCAGUCCAAAAACAUUAAAAGGAUCGGUUAACGAAACAUGUCAUACAGAAUGCAAAAAGAUAUGGAGCGCGAUAAGCUAAUUAAUUAACACACAAGUACGGUAACUUUAGGCUCAAAUGAUCAAUUAUAGUUAAACAAACUGACAAGCUGUCAUGGGUGAUCAACGAACCAUAGAUAGUAUCAUAAACUGAACAUCUUUAACGCUCGUUAAAUACCAACAAAUAGCAUAAGUUUCAUACUUGCAUUAUUUACCUAUGCUGUUUCCACAUCGCUUACGUUACUCAGCAACGCGAUUCUCCUCUUUCUCAACACCGCCUCAUUUUCAAAAAUCGCUUCCCACUUCUCAUUCAUUUCUUUCGCUUUCGCUUCCCCAAUCAAACUCAAAUUCUCCUUAACCAACUUCACAACACCAUCAGGAAACUUCAAAGCAGUCGAAACCUCCGACGUCAAUCCAGCAUUCCAAAACGGAUACAACGUCUCGAAAUCCUCCACUUUAACCACCUGUGCAUCAUCUACCUCCUUCUCAAUCACCGCAACUUUCGGUUCAACUUUCGGUUUAACUUUUGUAACCCUAACUUUCCCUUUCGCAGUCGACCCACCACCAUUACCACCCACAUUCUCACACCCAUCAACACCCCAUAUCUUAUUCGAAAGCUCAAACAACGUCCGCUCAUGCGGCUUAAUAAACACCGCUUCCUCACCGUUCCCACUAACCUUCUCCGAAUUAACCCGAAACUUCUUCUUCAACCUCCUAACUUUCUCAUACAGCUGACUCUUCGUCGCAUACCCCGGUAACGAACUCAUCGUAAACUGAUAAAAACCAUCCAUAUCCGACAACGGAGAGCACCCGAUUUUCGACUGAUAAUCAAUAAACCCCUGCAACAACAUAAGUUCAUCCUCAACAGUCCACACCCUCUUAACCACUGCUUUCUUUUCCUCAUCAACAUCCCCAUUCAAAACCUUAAUUUUCUUCUUAUUGUUAUUAUUGUUGGUUAAACGACGGCGUUUUGACGUUGGAGUCGUCUCAAAAACAUCAAAAGAUUCAAUCUUUUUCGAGGGUUUGAUCGCAAAAUCGGAAGCGGUGGGCGAUCUCACAUCGUAAUCGAAUUCAAAGAUCGAAGCUUUCGGAAUACCCAUCGGAAUCUUUGAGUCGGAAUCUGAUUCCGAUUCCGAUUCAGAUGAUAAUUGAGGUGGGUUUGAAGGAGGGUUUUGAAAUUGGGGGUUUUUGAUUUGUGGGUUUUGAAAUUGGGGAUUUUUUGUGGGUGUUGGGGUUUCUUCUUCCUCUUCGUCUUCUUCUUCUUCUUCAUCAUCUUCAGAUGAUGAUGAUGAUGAUUGGUGAACUGUAUUUUGUGUGAUGAUUUCUUGUUCGUCUUCUGUUUCAUCAUCAUCGUCGGAUGAAGCGGAUGGGGGGUCGUCUAGAGGAGUGUAGCGUUUGGUAGCCAUGAAUGGGUUGAUGAUAUGAUUGAUUGGUGAAAGAUGGAUGAAGGAUUACAAGCAGGGUGUGAGAAUUUGAAGGAUGAAGAUGUGGAAUUAGGGUUUUGUUGUGUGAUUAUGGGCUUGAGGGGAAGCUCAUAGUUUCCACUUUCAAGCUUUGGUAAACCACUCUUAAU
Molecule: long non-coding RNA, 1617 nt
Filed under: Helianthus annuus (common sunflower)
Lineage: Eukaryota; Viridiplantae; Streptophyta; Magnoliopsida; Asterales; Asteraceae
Description: hypothetical non coding rna
Source: RNAcentral